RNAcentral lists this ribosomal RNA (580 nucleotides) under uncultured bacterium. RNAcentral describes it as "bacterial SSU rRNA". It matches the Rfam family "Bacterial small subunit ribosomal RNA", at positions 215 to 809 of the family's 1533-position model. The record is from RNAcentral.
GUGGUGUAAGAUGGACCCGCGUCUGAUUAGCUUGUUGGCGGGGUAACGGCCCACCAAGGCGACGAUCAGUAGCCGGCCUGAGAGGGUGGACGGCCACAUUGGGACUGAGACACGGCCCAAACUCCUACGGGAGGCAGCAGUGGGGGAUAUUGGACAAUGGGGGAAACCCUGAUCCAGCGACGCCGCGUGAGUGAAGAAGUAUUUCGGUAUGUAAAGCUCUAUCAGCAGGGAAGAAAGAAAUGACGGUACCUGAGUAAGAAGCCCCGGCUAACUACGUGCCAGCAGCCGCGGUAAUACGUAGGGGGCAAGCGUUAUCCGGAAUUACUGGGUGUAAAGGGAGCGUAGACGGUAAUGCAAGUCUGGAGUGAAAGGCGGGGGCCCAACCCCCGGACUGCUCUGGAAACUGUGUAACUGGAGUGCAGGAGAGGCAGGCGGAAUUCCUAGUGUAGCGGUGAAAUGCGUAGAUAUUAGGAGGAACACCAGUGGCGAAGGCGGCUUGCUGGACUGUAACUGACGUUGAGGCUCGAAAGCGUGGGGAGCAAACAGGAUUAGAUACCCUGGUAGUCCACGCCGUAAACGA